GAAUGCUUUCUUCACUCUCUGCUGAUAUAACUUGACCAUGACACAUGGCAGUUGAUCUUUUCGUUCUUUCCGUCGAAUUCAGCAUUAGUCAACUUGGGAUUUUAAGGGUGCUAUCUUUCUUUUGUUUUUUUUUCUUUUGAUUUUGCUUUUGAUUUUGCUUUCUUUUGAUUUCUUUUGAUUUCUUUUGAUUUCUUUUGAUUUCUUUUGAUUUUGCACCCUCCUCUUUCUUUUUUUCUCUUUUUUUUCUUUUUGAUAAUGCCCCAGUUGGCUGUUCUGCUGAUUCUCGAGAUGCAGCUGAGUGUGAUCUUCUUUUCUCGCUCAAGAAGUCGGGAAAUCUCGUCAGGAAUCCCUUCAACAUCAUCUUCUUCCGC
Molecule: long non-coding RNA, 371 nt
Filed under: Lathyrus oleraceus (garden pea)
Lineage: Eukaryota; Viridiplantae; Streptophyta; Magnoliopsida; Fabales; Fabaceae
Description: Pisum sativum (pea) long non-coding RNA (PSAT_LNC027265)
Source: RNAcentral